RNAcentral lists this ribosomal RNA (200 nucleotides) under uncultured bacterium. RNAcentral's name for it is "partial 16S ribosomal RNA". It matches the Rfam family "Bacterial small subunit ribosomal RNA", at positions 8 to 209 of the family's 1533-position model. The record is from RNAcentral.
AGAGUUUGAUCCUGGCUCAGGACGAACGCUGGCGGCGUGCUUAACACAUGCAAGUCGAGCGGAAAGGCCCUUCGGGGGUACUCGAGCGGCGAACGGGUGAGUAACACGUGAGCAAUCUGCCCUUAGCUUCGGGAUAGCUCCGGGAAACCGGAAUUAAUACCGAAUACGACUGCGGCCGACAUCGGCCAUAGUGGAAAGUU